Molecule: ribosomal RNA, 1343 nt
Filed under: uncultured bacterium
Lineage: Bacteria
Description: 16S ribosomal RNA
Rfam family: Bacterial small subunit ribosomal RNA
Source: RNAcentral
GACGAACGCUGGCGGCGUGCUUAACACAUGCAAGUCGAACGGAAAGGCCCUGCUUUUGUGGGGUGCUCGAGUGGCGAACGGGUGAGUAACACGUGAGUAACCUGCCCUUGACUUUGGGAUAACUUCAGGAAACUGGGGCUAAUACCGGAUAGGAGCUCCUGCUGCAUGGUGGGGGUUGGAAAGUUUCGGCGGUUGGGGAUGGACUCGCGGCUUAUCAGCUUGUUGGUGGGGUAGUGGCUUACCAAGGCUUUGACGGGUAGCCGGCCUGAGAGGGUGACCGGCCACAUUGGGACUGAGAUACGGCCCAGACUCCUACGGGAGGCAGCAGUGGGGAAUAUUGCACAAUGGGCGGAAGCCUGAUGCAGCAACGCCGCGUGCGGGAUGACGGCCUUCGGGUUGUAAACCGCUUUCGCCUGUGACGAGGCGUGAGUGACGGUAAUGGGUAAAGAAGCACCGGCUAACUACGUGCCAGCAGCCGCGGUGAUACGUAGGGUGCGAGCGUUGUCCGGAUUUAUUGGGCGUAAAGGGCUCGUAGGUGGUUGAUCGCGUCGGAAGUGUAAUCUUGGGGCUUAACCCUGAGCGUGCUUUCGAUACGGGUUGACUUGAGGAAGGUAGGGGAGAAUGGAAUUCCUGGUGGAGCGGUGGAGUGCGCAGAUAUCAGGAGGAACACCAGUGGCGAAGGCGGUUCUCUGGGCCUUUCCUGACGCUGAGGAGCGAAAGCGUGGGGAGCGAACAGGCUUAGAUACCCUGGUAGUCCACGCUGUAAACGGUGGGUACUAGGUGUGGGGUCCAUUCCACGGGUUCCGUGCCGUAGCUAACGCUUUAAGUACCCCGCCUGGGGAGUACGGCCGCAAGGCUAAAACUCAAAGGAAUUGACGGGGCCCCGCACAAGCGGCGGAGCAUGCGGAUUAAUUCGAUGCAACGCGUAGAACCUUACCUGGGUUUGACAUGGAUCGGGAGUGCUCAGAGAUGGGUGUGCCUCUUUUGGGGUCGGUUCACAGGUGGUGCAUGGCUGUCGUCAGCUCGUGUCGUGAGAUGUUGGGUUAAGUCCCGCAACGAGCGCAACCCUUGUUCACUGUUGCCAGCACGUUAUGGUGGGGACUCAGUGGAGACCGCCGGGGUCAACUCGGAGGAAGGUGGGGAUGACGUCAAGUCAUCAUGCCCCUUAUGUCCAGGGCUUCACGCAUGCUACAAUGGCUGGUACAGAGAGUGGCGAGCCUGUGAGGGUGAGCGAAUCUCGGAAAGCCGGUCUCAGUUCGGAUUGGGGUCUGCAACUCGACCUCAUGAAGUCGGAGUCGCUAGUAAUCGCAGAUCAGCAACGCUGCGGUGAAUACGUUCCCGGG